AUGGCCGUGCAGGCGCAAAACCUCUCCCACGCCUUCCCCCACGACCUCCACGCCUACAACAGCGUCAGUGCUCUGGAGGACGAGAUGACGGGCGGCUCCCUCUUCUUCCCCGAGAACCUCAAGCGCGGGCCGGAACUGGACGCUGCUGGGAACACGCUGUUCGGCGACGUUCCGCGCGUCGAUCCCACUUGGCACGACAAUACCACCCGCAGCCACGGUAUAGUGCAGAGGAAGCGGGCGCGCGUCGUGCCGGAGGCGCCUUCAUACUUGGAGAAUCAGCGCGGGCAGGGGCGUGUGCCCGUCGGUGAUCUUCUGACCAGGGCGGUGGGCUCCGGCACGGCGUCAACCAGUGGGAGAAUGAUCAAUGCCGCCGGCCCGCCGCCGGACCUGCUCUCGCAGCUGUACCGUCAGGGCAUGGAGAUCGAUGCAGUCCUACGACUCGAGACCGACCGCAUGCGCGCGGGGCUGGAGGAGGCGCGGCAGCAGCACGUCACGGCGCUGGUAUCGGCGGCGGAGCGUGCUGCGGCGAGGCAGCUGCGUGCCGCGGAGGCCGCGCUGGAGCUGGCGCGCUGCCGCAACGCGAAGCUGUCAGAGAGGCUCACCCAGAUUUGCGCCGAGGGUCAGGCGUGGAUACGCGUCGCCAAGAGCCACGAGGCAGUCGCUGCGGGCCUCCAAGCUACACUCGACCAGCUUCUGCAAUCCCCUUGCGCUGCCGUGGCCGCCACCGGAGCGGAUGGAGACGGCGACGCCGAGGACGCGCGGUCCUGCUGUUUCGAGACCCCCGCCGGCGACGACGCUGCGGCAUCCAAGGCGUCGGCGGCGGCGUGCAGGGCUUGCGGCGAGGGCGAGUCGUGCGUGUUGCUGCUGCCGUGCAGGCACCUGUGCCUCUGCAGCGCGUGCGACGCCGCCGUGGACACUUGCCCGUUGUGCGCGACCACCAAGAACGCGUCGCUCCAUGUCCUGCUCUCGUGA
This 972-nucleotide ribosomal RNA is filed under the name Triticum aestivum (bread wheat). RNAcentral's name for it is "partial small subunit ribosomal RNA". Lineage: Eukaryota; Viridiplantae; Streptophyta; Magnoliopsida; Poales; Poaceae. The record is from RNAcentral.